AACGAACGCUGGCGGCAUGCCUAACACAUGCAAGUCGAACGAAACCUUCGGGUCUAGUGGCGCACGGGUGCGUAACGCGUGGGAACCUGCCCUUAGGUUCGGAAUAACUCCCCGAAAGGGGUGCUAAUACCGGAUAAUGUCUACGGACCAAAGAUUUAUCGCCUUUGGAUGGGCCCGCGUUGGAUUAGCUAGUUGGUAGGGUAAAAGCCUACCAAGGCGACGAUCCAUAGCUGGUCUGAGAGGAUGAUCAGCCACACUGGGACUGAGACACGGCCCAGACUCUUACGGGAGGCAGCAGUGGGGAAUAUUGGACAAUGGGCGAAAGCCUGAUCCAGCAAUGCCGCGUGAGUGAUGAAGGCCUUAGGGUUGUAAAGCUCUUUUACCCGGGAUGAUAAUGACAGUACCGGGAGAAUAAGCCCCGGCUAACUCCGUG
Molecule: ribosomal RNA, 433 nt
Filed under: uncultured bacterium
Lineage: Bacteria
Description: partial 16S ribosomal RNA
Rfam family: Bacterial small subunit ribosomal RNA
Source: RNAcentral